CAGGGAUUGCCCUAGUAACGGCGAGUGAAGCGGCAAAAGCUCAAAUUUGAAAUCUGGCCCCUUUGGGGGUCCGAGUUGUAAUUUGUAGAGGGUGCUUUGGUGUUGGCUGUGGUCUAAGUUCCUUGGAACAGGACGUCGCAGAGGGUGAGAAUCCCGUAUGUGGCCGCCAGCCUUCACCAUGUAAAGCCUCUUCGACGAGUCGAGUUGUUUGGGAAUGCAGCUCUAAAUGGGAGGUAAAUUUCUUCUAAAGCUAAAUAUCUGCCAGAGACCGAUAGCGCACAAGUAGAGUGAUCGAAAGAUGAAAAGCACUUUGGAAAGAGAGUCAAAAAGCACGUGAAAUUGUUGAAAGGGAAGCGCUUGCAGUUAGACAUGCUUCUAGUUGCUCAGCUGGGCUGUUGCCCGGUGCACUCUUCUAUUGGCAGGCCAGCAUCAGUCUGGGCGGUUGGAUAAAUGCCUAUUAAACGUGACUCCCCUCGGGGAGAGCUUAUAGGGUAGGCAGCAUGCAACCAGCCUGGACUGAGGUCCGCGCAUCUGCUAGGAUGCUGGCGUAAUAGCUGUAAGCGGCCCGUCUUGAAACACGGACCAAGGAGUCUAACAUCUAUGCGAGUGUUUGGGUGUCAAGCCCGAGCGCGCAAUGAAAGUAAACGGAGGUGGGAACCUUAUGGGUGCACCAUCGACCGAUCCUGAUGUCUUCGGAUGGAUUUGAGUAAGAGCAUGGCUGUUAGGACCCGAAAGAUGGUGAACUAUGCCUGAAUAGGGUGAAGCCAGAGGAAACUCUGGUGGAGGCUCGCAGCGGUUCUGACGUGCAAAUCGAUCGUCAAAUUUGGGCAUAGGGGCGAAAGACUA
RNAcentral lists this ribosomal RNA (846 nucleotides) under Pseudopaucispora heteropanacis. Its description in RNAcentral is "Pseudopaucispora sp. HZ-2023a partial large subunit ribosomal RNA". It matches the Rfam family "Eukaryotic large subunit ribosomal RNA", at positions 69 to 933 of the family's 3401-position model. The record is from RNAcentral. Lineage: Eukaryota; Fungi; Ascomycota; Dothideomycetes; Pleosporales; Lophiostomataceae.